RNAcentral lists this long non-coding RNA (694 nucleotides) under Olea europaea subsp. europaea. Lineage: Eukaryota; Viridiplantae; Streptophyta; Magnoliopsida; Lamiales; Oleaceae. The record is from RNAcentral.
UCCAUAUCGAUAUCCGUAUAGUAGAAAGAGGCCAAAGAAAACCCUCAGCAAAUUCAAUGGCGACUACUGCAUUUCUUCAUCCUGCUGCGAGUUGCAGCGUUGUUUCUUCAUCUUGUCAUCUUAAAAGGAAGGAAGCCAUUUGCCGUAAUCUGCCUCUCAUUCGUUUGCUAUCGAUCUUUCAAAGCUCCGACAUCUUGAAAUCGAUCCUCCUUCAGCAUUACCUUUGACGCAUCUCCGACCAACCUGUACUAUGCUCCCAAUAAAUAGACCCCUGUAGAACUUCGAAACCUUAAUCUUUUUCUUGAACACCCAACACCAAACGUUACCAUCACUUUGUCAACAUGCAUUAACUGACGCAGACCAUAAAAUUGAAGUAAUGAAAGUUAAGUAUACCUUUGUAAGGCUUCAAAUACUUUUAGUUUUACUAAUCCCUAAACCCUUUUAAUUUUACUUUGCUCUCUGACUUCGGUGGUAGCUGCAGAGCUUAAGGAAGAUGAGGUGGCUUUGGUGAAGGUGGAUGCCACUGAGGAGUUGGAUUUCGCUCAGAAGUUUGAUGUUCUGGGUUUUCGAUACUGUACUUCUAUGUUGAUGGGGUGCAUAAACCCUACCCUGGUAAAUGAACCAGUUAAGUUUUCAUGUUUAUACAGGAUGAAUCUCAUGUAUUUACGGUUUCAUACGUGAAGAUGAAUGAAUU